RNAcentral lists this ribosomal RNA (2306 nucleotides) under human gut metagenome. RNAcentral describes it as "bacterial LSU rRNA". It matches the Rfam family "Bacterial large subunit ribosomal RNA", at positions 3 to 2325 of the family's 2925-position model. The record is from RNAcentral.
UCAAGCUACUAAGGGCAUACGGUGGAUGCCUAGGCGCCAGGAGCCGAAGAAGGACGCGGUAAGCUGCGAAAAGCCACGGGGAACUGCAAGCGAGUAUUGAUCCGUGGAUAUCCGAAUGGGGAAACCCGGCCAUCGUAAUGGAUGGUCAUCCGCAAGGAAGGGAACCCGGGGAACUGAAACAUCUAAGUACCCGGAGGAAAAGAAAUCAAACGAGAUGCCCACAGUAGCGGCGAGCGAAGAGGGCAGAGCCCAAACCUGUAAGCUACGGCUUAUGGGGGUUGAGGACUGACGUAAUUAAGGCCAGGCUUAGCUGAACUACCUGGGAAGGUAGGCGAUAGAAGGUAAGAGCCCUGUAAGCGAAAAGCAGAGCCUUAAGGUCAGUAUCCAGAGUACCACGGAGCACGAGGAAUUCUGUGGGAAGCAGGGGGGACCACCCUCCAAGGCUAAAGACUAACUGGCGACCGAUAGCGCAUAGUACCGUGAGGGAAAGGUGAAAAGAACCCCGGGAGGGGAGUGAAAUAGUACCUGAAACCGUAUGUCUACAAGCAGUCGGAGCGAAAGCGACGGCGUGCCUAUUGAAGAAUGAACCAACGAGUUAUCUGCACUAGCGAGGUUAAGUGGAAGACACGGAGCCGUAGCGAAAGCGAGUCUGAAAAGGGCGAUGAGUUAGUGUAGGUAGACCCGAAACCGCAGUGAUCUACCCAUGUCCAGGUUGAAGCGCAGGUAAAAAUGCGUGGAGGACCGAACCGGUGAGCGUUGAAAAGCUUUCGGAUGAGAUGUGGGUAGGGGUGAAAUUCCAAUCGAACGCGGAGAUAGCUGGUUCUCCCCGAAAUAGCUUUAGGGCUAGCCUCAGGUAGUAAGUAUAGGCGGUAGAGCACUGAUCGGGCUAGGGGCCAUAAAGGUUACCGAACCCUGUCAAACUCCGAAUGGAUAUACUGCAGAGCCUGGGAGUCAGACUACGAGUGAUAAGAUCCGUGGUCAAAAGGGAAACAGCCCAGACCACCGGCUAAGGUCCCAAAUGCCGUACUAAGUGGAAAAGGAUGUGGGGAUUCAUAAACAACCAGGAUGUUGGCUCAGAAGCAGCCACCAUUUAAAGAGUGCGUAAUAGCUCACUGGUCGAGAGGCCCUGCGCCGAAGAUUCCCGGGGCUAAAGUAUGGAACCGAAGCUACGGAUGCGGUACUUGUACCGCGUGGUAGAGGAGCGUUCCCAUUGGGUUGAAGUCGUCCUGGAAGGGACGGUGGACUGGUGGGAAGUGAGAAUGUUGGCAUGAGUAGCGAAAAGAUAGGUGAGAAUCCUAUCCACCGAAAGCAUAAGGAUUCCUGAGCAACGAUCGUCGUCUCAGGGUAAGUCGGGACCUAAUCCGAGGCAAGGAGCGUAGGAGAUGGACAACAGGUUGAUAUUCCUGUACCGGCAGCAAUUGUUUGAGCGAAGGAGUGACACAGAAGGGCAGGCAGGCGCGAGACUGGAUUGUCGCGUGCAAGCGUGUAGGGUAGUGUACAGGCAAAUCCGUACACUGAGAGCCUGAGGCGUUACGCGGAGCGAGCAGAGAUGCGAGCGAAGCUGCUGAUCCCACACUGUCGAGAAAAGCUUCUAGUGAGAGAGCUGCCGCCCGUACCGUAAACCGACACAGGUAUGCGGGGAGAGAAUCCUAAGGUGCGCGGGAGAACCCUCGUUAAGGAACUCGGCAAAAUGUACCCGUAACUUCGGGAUAAGGGUAGCCGUCUUGGUGAAGGAGCAUGCCUCUGGAGCUGAAGGCGGUCGCAGAGAAGAGGCCCAAGCGACUGUUUACCACAAACACAGGUGCCUGCUAAAGCGAAAGCUGACGUAUAGGUGCUGACACCUGCCCAGUGCUGGAAGGUUAAGGAAGGAUGUCCGGGCAACCAAAGCAUUCGACCGAAGCCCCAGUGAACGGCGGCCGUAACUAUAACGGUCCUAAGGUAGCGAAAUUCCUUGUCGGGUAAGUUCCGACCCGCACGAAAGGUGUAACGAUUUGGGCACUGUCUCAACGAGGGACCCGGUGAAAUUGAAAUACCUGUGAAGAUGCAGGUUACCCGCGACUGGACAGAAAGACCCCAUGGAGCUUUACUGUAACCUGACAUUGGGUUUUGUUGUAUUACGUACAGGAUAGGUGGGAGGCUUGGAAGGCUGGACGCUAGUCUGGCUGGAGCCGGCGUUGGGAUACCACCCUUGAUACAACGGAAUUCUAACCGAGAGAGUAACGAAAUCCGGGACAGUGUCAGGCGGGCAGUUUGACUGGGGCGGUCGCCUCCGAAAGAGUAACGGAGGCGCCCAAAGGUUCCCUCAG